AAAGAGUGCGUAAUAGCUCACUAGUCGAGUGACACUGCGCCGAAAAUGUACCGGGGCUAAACAUAUUACCGAAGCUGUGGAUUGUCCUUUGGACAAUGGUAGGAGAGCGUUCUAAGGGCGUUGAAGCAUGAUCGUAAGGACAUGUGGAGCGCUUAGAAGUGAGAAUGCCGGUGUGAGUAGCGAAAGACGGGUGAGAAUCCCGUCCACCGAUUGACUAAGGUUUCCAGAGGAAGGCUCGUCCGCUCUGGGUUAGUCGGGUCCUAAGCUGAGGCCGACAGGCGUAGGCGAUGGAUAACAGGUUGAUAUUCCUGUACCACCUAUAAUCGUUUUA
This 331-nucleotide ribosomal RNA is filed under the name Staphylococcus aureus. RNAcentral describes it as "partial 23S ribosomal RNA". It matches the Rfam family "Bacterial large subunit ribosomal RNA", at positions 1125 to 1461 of the family's 2925-position model. Lineage: Bacteria; Bacillati; Bacillota; Bacilli; Caryophanales; Staphylococcaceae. The record is from RNAcentral.